This 465-nucleotide ribosomal RNA is filed under the name uncultured bacterium. Its description in RNAcentral is "bacterial SSU rRNA". It matches the Rfam family "Bacterial small subunit ribosomal RNA", at positions 338 to 795 of the family's 1533-position model. The record is from RNAcentral.
CCUACGGGUUGCACCAGUGGGGAAUAUUGGACAAUGGGGGCAACCCUGAUCCAGCGACGCCGCGUGGGUGAAGAAGGCCUGCGGGUUGUAAAGCCCUUUCGGUGGGGAUAAAAAGCCUUGGUUUAACACACCAGGGUCUUGAUCUAACCCAAGAAAGAAGCACCGGCUAACUCUGUGCCAGCAGCCGCGGUAAUACAGAGGGUGCGAGCGUUAAUCGGAAUUACUGGGCGUAAAGCGCACGUAGGUGGCUUUGCAAGUCGAUUGUGAAAUCCCCGGGCUUAACCUGGGAACUGCAGUCGAGACUGCUUUGCUUGAGUAUGGGAGAGGGAGGUGGAAUUUCCGGUGUAGCGGUGAAAUGCGUAGAUAUCGGAAGGAACAUCAGUGGCGAAGGCGACCUCCUGGACCAAUACUGACACUCAAGUGCGAAAGCGUGGGGAGCAAACAGGAUUAGAUACCCCGGUAGUC